AUUACCGCGACGACUUAUUCCAGCACUCAAAUGACGUCAUUUGGGUGCUGGAAUAGACUUAUUCUAACACCGAAAUAGAAAAAUUAUAGUACGAAUGCUUCAUAAUUUUUUUUUGCUAUUUGCAUUGUCCUGAUCAAUAUAACAUUGAAUGAGAAAUGUAGCCUUUUUGGAGAGCACACUUCAAACGACUAUCGUGAUAACUUUCUAAACAACCAGUAUGACAAUAAUUUUUUAUGCGGCCUAAAUCAUUUAAAAAUUGUUUAUCCAAAACCACCGACACAAUAAAAUUUUGUUAACGAAGUAAAUCAUUGUGUUCUUCCAAAUCAUUCAUCUAUUCAGGGAAAUUAUCGAAAAAAAAGUCGUAGGCCAACGUAUCGCAAUCGCGAUCGCGCAGUAAAGGAUGGAGUUGGGCUGGAGUGACGUCACAGCAGUUUCACAAAAUAUUUAAUUUUGAAGUUCCCAGCCUAAAUAUUUCGAAUUUAAUUUCACAAAUGUUCAUGUUUUAAUACAUUGCGUUUAUUAGAUAAAUAAAAAAAGUGCAUUUUGAAAGUUGAUCUCUCCUUUAAGUGUGUUUUAUGACUCACAAAAUAUUCGCACUGGAAUGCGGGAUGUCCUUGCCCUGUGCACUGGAAAGAACCCAUCGCAAGAGAUGACGUGUUAUUCGCCCUAUAAAAAGGAAGCGCAAAUAUCGCUAAAAAGUCAGUCAAAUCAGACUAGUUGUGUCAAUUGAAGAAGAAGCUGCCAAAACACCCUGUGCCACCAUCUAAGGCCAGAAUCUAUCAACCCGAAGCAGUCCGAUUGUUCAAUUACAUAGUCAUGAGUCAUGUGGGAAUAAUGGGCAAGUAUGAAGUUUGGGUCAUCGUGGCUUUGGGAGAUAACAGGUAUGCUAUGGUCCGACACGUCAUCCCUCGAUCGGAUUUUUCCUAUGCACGAGGCGAGGUCAUCCUGGUGACCUAAGUGCGAACUUUUAUGUAUCAUAAAAAGCACUUAAAAUUCCAUGCCUUCUCUAAACUCGCCUGCUCUAAUUUUGUUUACGUUACGAAUUCCGAGGAAGUUGCGAGGAAGAGUCUGUGUUAUUGACCGCCUUUUCAACUCCAUAGGUUUGGUCUCUUUACAAUAAAUUUGUAAAACAUUUAUUUUACAUAUUAGGGCCCUUUUUAGCCCGUCACAACCACUCCCCCCUUUACUGAAAAACAUGGGUUUGAAUAACCCAUGUCUUUUCACAAUAUAACUAACCUAAUCAUCUGUAUCUUCCUUCUUGGACUUACAUUAAAAAAUAAAAAUUCCGAAAUUAUGAC
Tribolium madens (black flour beetle) is the source of this 1298-nucleotide long non-coding RNA. RefSeq lists it as uncharacterized. NCBI's taxonomy places the organism in Eukaryota, Metazoa, Arthropoda, Insecta, Coleoptera, Tenebrionidae. The record is from RefSeq and is a predicted model, not a curated record. The transcript has 2 exons.